AGGGAAUCUUCCACAAUGGACGCAAGUCUGAUGGAGCAACGCCGCGUGAGUGAAGAAGGUUUUCGGACCGUAAAGCUCUGUUGUUGGUGAAGAAGGAUAGAGGUAGUAACUGGCCUUUAUUUGACGGUAAUCAACCAGAAAGUCACGGCUAACUACGUGCCAGCAGCCGCGGUAAUCGUAGGUGGCAAGCGUUGUCCGGAUUUAUUGGGC
This 210-nucleotide ribosomal RNA is filed under the name uncultured bacterium. Its description in RNAcentral is "partial 16S ribosomal RNA". It matches the Rfam family "Bacterial small subunit ribosomal RNA", at positions 356 to 559 of the family's 1533-position model. The record is from RNAcentral.